AUUGAACGCUGGCGGCAUGCCUUACACAUGCAAGUCGAACGGUAACGGGCCUUCGGGUGCCGACGAGUGGCGAACGGGUGAGUAAUACAUCGGAACGUGCCCGAUCGUGGGGGAUAACGAGGCGAAAGCUUUGCUAAUACCGCAUACGAUCUACGGAUGAAAGCAGGGGACCGCAAGGCCUUGCGCGGACGGAGCGGCCGAUGGCAGAUUAGGUAGUUGGUGGGAUAAAAGCUUACCAAGCCGACGAUCUGUAGCUGGUCUGAGAGGAUGAUCAGCCACACUGGGACUGAGACACGGCCCAGACUCCUACGGGAGGCAGCAGUGGGGAAUUUUGGACAAUGGGCGCAGGCCUGAUCCAGCCAUGCCGCGUGCAGGAUGAAGGCCUUCGGGUUGUAAACUGCUUUUGUACGGAACGAAAAGCCUUCUUUUAAUACAGGAGGGUCAUGACGGUACCGGAAGAAUAAGCACCGGCUAACUACGUG
RNAcentral lists this ribosomal RNA (482 nucleotides) under uncultured bacterium. RNAcentral's name for it is "partial 16S ribosomal RNA". It matches the Rfam family "Bacterial small subunit ribosomal RNA", at positions 30 to 507 of the family's 1533-position model. The record is from RNAcentral.